This 464-nucleotide ribosomal RNA is filed under the name uncultured bacterium. Its description in RNAcentral is "bacterial SSU rRNA". It matches the Rfam family "Bacterial small subunit ribosomal RNA", at positions 917 to 1382 of the family's 1533-position model. The record is from RNAcentral.
GGGCCCGCACAAGCGGCGGAGCAUGCGGAUUAAUUCGAUGCAACGCGAAGAACCUUACCAAGGCUUGACAUGGGCAGUAAUCCGGCAGAGAUGUCGGGUCCGUAAGGGCUGUUCACAGGUGGUGCAUGGUUGUCGUCAGCUCGUGUCGUGAGAUGUUGGGUUAAGUCCCGCAACGAGCGCAACCCUCGUUCCAUGUUGCCAGCACGUAGUGGUGGGGACUCAUGGGAGACUGCCGGGGUCAACUCGGAGGAAGGUGGGGAUGACGUCAAAUCAUCAUGCCCCUUAUGUCUUGGGCUUCACGCAUGCUACAAUGGCCAGUACAAAGGGUUGCGAGACCGUGAGGUGGAGCGAAUCCCAAAAAGCUGGUCUCAGUUCGGAUCGGGGUCUGCAACUCGACCCCGUGAAGUCGGAGUCGCUAGUAAUCGCAGAUCAGCAACGCUGCGGUGAAUACGUUCCCGGGCCUU